This 292-nucleotide ribosomal RNA is filed under the name uncultured microorganism. RNAcentral's name for it is "partial 16S ribosomal RNA". It matches the Rfam family "Bacterial small subunit ribosomal RNA", at positions 505 to 796 of the family's 1533-position model. The record is from RNAcentral.
CUGCCAGCAGCCGCGGUAAUACGUAGGGUGCGAGCGUUGUCCGGAAUUAUUGGGCGUAAAGAGCUCGUAGGCGGUUUGCCGCGUCGGCUGUGAAAACCUGCCGCUUAACGGUGGGCCUGCAGUCGAUACGGGCAGACUUGAGUUCGGCAGGGGAGACUGGAAUUCCUGGUGUAGCGGUGAAAUGCGCAGAUAUCAGGAGGAACACCGGUGGCGAAGGCGGGUCUCUGGGCCGGUACUGACGCUGAGGAGCGAAAGCGUGGGGAGCGAACAGGAUUAGAUACCCUGGUAGUCC